CACUCCUACGGGAGGCAGCAGUGGGGAAUAUUGCACAAUGGGGGAAACCCCUGAUGCAGCCAUGCCGCGUGUGUGAAGAAGGCCUUCGGGUUGUAAAAGCACUUUCAGUAGGGAGGAAGGUAGUGUAGUUAACACCUGCAUUAUUUGACGUUACCUACAGAAGAAGCACCGGCUAACUCCGUGCCAGCAGCCGCGGUAAUACGGAGGGUGCGAGCGUUAAUCGGAAUUACUGGGCGUAAAGCGCAUGCAGGCGGCCUGUUAAGUCAGAUGUGAAAGCCCGGGGCUUAACCUCGGAAUUGCAUUUGAAACUGGCAGGCUAGAGUCUUGUAGAGGGGGUAGAAUUUCAGGUGUAGCGGUGAAAUGCGUAGAGAUCUGAAGGAAUACCAGUGGCGAAGGCGGCCCCCUGGACAAAGACUGACGCUCAGAUGCGAAAGCGUGGGGAGCAAACAGGAUUAGAUACCCUGGUAG
Molecule: ribosomal RNA, 468 nt
Filed under: uncultured bacterium
Lineage: Bacteria
Description: bacterial SSU rRNA
Rfam family: Bacterial small subunit ribosomal RNA
Source: RNAcentral